This 460-nucleotide ribosomal RNA is filed under the name uncultured bacterium. RNAcentral describes it as "partial 16S ribosomal RNA". It matches the Rfam family "Bacterial small subunit ribosomal RNA", at positions 338 to 795 of the family's 1533-position model. The record is from RNAcentral.
CCUACGGGAGACAGCAGUGAGGAAUAUUGGUCAAUGGGCGAGAGCCUGAACCAGCCAAGUCGCGUGAAGGAUGAAGGAUCUAUGGUUUGUAAACUUCUUUUAUAUGGGAAUAAAGUGCGGAACGUGUUCCUUCUUGUAUGUACCAUAUGAAUAAGCAUCGGCUAACUCCGUGCCAGCAGCCGCGGUAAUACGGAGGAUGCGAGCGUUAUCCGGAUUUAUUGGGUUUAAAGGGUGCGUAGGUGGUUAAUUAAGUCAGCGGUGAAAGUUUGUGGCUCAACCAUCAAAUUGCCGUUGAAACUGGGUGACUUGAGUAUAUUUGAGGUAGGCGGAAUGCGUGGUGUAGCGGUGAAAUGCAUAGAUAUCACGCAGAACUCCGAUUGCGAAGGCAGCUUACUAAACUAUAACUGACACUGAAGCACGAAAGCGUGGGGAUCAAACAGGAGUAGAUACCCGAGUAGUC